This 567-nucleotide ribosomal RNA is filed under the name uncultured archaeon. RNAcentral describes it as "bacterial SSU rRNA". It matches the Rfam family "Archaeal small subunit ribosomal RNA", at positions 326 to 897 of the family's 1478-position model. The record is from RNAcentral.
CGGGGUGCACCAGGCGCGAAAACUUUACAAUGCGGGAAACCGUGAUAAGGGGACACCGAGUGCCAGCAUUAUAUGCUGGCUGUCCAGGUGUGUAAAAUACACCUGUUAGCAAGGGCCGGGCAAGACCGGUGCCAGCCGCCGCGGUAACACCGGCGGCCCGAGUGGUGAUCGUGAUUAUUGGGUCUAAAGGGUCCGUAGCCGGUUUGGUCAGUCCUCCGGGAAAUCUGAUAGCUUAACUAUUAGGCUUUCGGAGGAUACUGCCAGACUUGGAACCGGGAGAGGUAAGAGGUACUACAGGGGUAGGAGUGAAAUCUUGUAAUCCCUGUGGGACCACCUGUGGCGAAGGCGUCUUACCAGAACGGGUUCGACGGUGAGGGACGAAAGCUGGGGGCACGAACCGGAUUAGAUACCCGGGUAGUCCCAGCCGUAAACGAUGCUCGCUAGGUGUCAGGCAUGGCGCGACCGUGUCUGGUGCCGCAGGGAAGCCGUGAAGCGAGCCACCUGGGAAGUACGGCCGCAAGGCUGAAACUUAAAGGAAUUGGCGGGGGAGCACAAGGGCGAAUCGCG